This 440-nucleotide ribosomal RNA is filed under the name uncultured bacterium. RNAcentral describes it as "partial 16S ribosomal RNA". It matches the Rfam family "Bacterial small subunit ribosomal RNA", at positions 338 to 795 of the family's 1533-position model. The record is from RNAcentral.
CCUACGGGAGGCAGCAGUAGGGAAUAUUGCUCAAUGGGGGAAACCCUGAAGCAGCAACGCCGCGUGGAGGAUGACGGUUUUCGGAUUGUAAACUCCUUUUGUUAGAGAAGAUAAUGACGGUAUCUAACGAAUAAGCACCGGCUAACACCGUGCCAGCAGCCGCGGUAAUACGGAGGGUGCAAGCGUUACUCGGAAUCACUGGGCGUAAAGCGCGCGUAGGCGGGAUAGCAAGUCAGAUGUGAAAUCCUAUGGCUUAACCAUAGAACUGCAGUUGAAACUGUUAUUCUAGAGUAUGGGAGAGGUAGGUGGAAUUCUUGGUGUAGGGGUAAAAUCCGUAGAGAUCAAGAGGAAUACUCAUUGCGAAGGCGACCUGCUAGAACAUAACUGACGCUGAUGCGCGAAAGCGUGGGGAGCAAACAGGAUUAGAUACCCCAGUAGUC